Molecule: long non-coding RNA, 2553 nt
Filed under: Mus musculus (house mouse)
Lineage: Eukaryota; Metazoa; Chordata; Mammalia; Rodentia; Muridae
Description: long non-coding RNA chr13:62015924-62018477
Source: RNAcentral
GUGUGCCUUGUUCCUCUGCUCUCUGUUUCUCUCCGUUGCAAGCAGGCUGAAAGAUUGGUCUGAUUUAUUUUCAUCUCUGCUGCCAGGGGCCCUAGGGCAAUGCCAGCGAUCUACAACGUGGCGACAUGGUGAGCGUGUGACAACUGCCCUUAACCGGAAGGAGCAGGGGGCUAAGCAGCUGGAGUCGGGGUGAUGGGAUGCAGGGGAUCAGUCCUGGCCGUUCUUUGCUCAGGCAGCCGAGGGGGAAGAGUGUCUGAGGCGACAAGACUUGGUUUUCAGGGAUGUUUAGGGUUGCUGUUUAGUAUUAAGACGUUUGCCUAUCUUAAGUCUCAGUCGCGUUGCAGCAGAAGCUGACCUGCCUGAGUUCCUCUGAGGCAACGCUGGACACUGCAAUCUCUGGUAUUAUGAGCCUCCUCUUAAAAAGACAGGGGAUUAACUGAGUAGCUUUUGUUCUAUCUCCACUGAAAUUGAGAUACUCUUAACUUCCAGCUGCUAGUUGAAGUCACAGGAAGAAAAGUUGGACACUUUCAAACAUCUCUUUAAACUUUUUUUCCAAGUUCUUCUAAAAAGUUUCCUAUGAAAGUUCUCUAAGGAAAGGGAGUGGGUGAUUAAGUAAAGGAGUCAUUGCUAGAGCCUUUCCCUCUUGUCCAGAUGCCUCUUGCUUGCUAAGCUUGGGGGAAGUUUGGAGCAAUAAACUUCUCUUAAACCAAGAGAAGAGAGCCACCCUCACAGAAGGAAAGACUUUUACACAAGCAAAUAUGGAUAAAGACACAUAAAUUAAUAAUACAAAUUCAUAUACUUUUGAGAAGUUAGUUUGAUCCAAUGUAUGUUGAAUUUCCAACUGGAGGGGACUCCUUUGCAGAUAUGUCCAAUCCACUUGCACAGUUACUUCAGCUCAGAGUGUUGAGAAGCUGUGUGUUAGGUUACAUCUCUCAGCAGCUGACAUUGCACAUAUGGGUGAGAUCUAACAGUAUCUUCUUUUUUGGGUUUUUUGUUUGUUUGUUUUUGUUUUUUGUUUUGUUUUGUUUUGUUUUGUUUUUUGGAUUUUUUGAGACAGGGUUUCUCUGUAUAGCUCUUGCUGGCCUGGAACUCACUCUGUAAACCAGGCUGUCCUCGAACUUGAAACCCGCCUGCCUCAUCCUCCCAUGUGCUGGGAUUAAAGGCUUGUGCCACCACUGCCUGGCCAAACUUUAUCUUCUUAUGCCAUUAUCUCUGCCAGGGAAUGGCCUGCAAUUUUUCAAGAUAACUCUCCUUUACCAAUAACUAGACCAACGCCCAAUGGCUUAUCAGCUCUCUCUUCUACAGAAGAUUCUGAUGCUAGGAAUAUUUGCUCAAAGGCGCAUACAUCCUGCUAUCUAUUAUACUUUUAAUAUGUAUUAUACAUUGUAGUGUGGUUGGUGAGUCAAAAUCAACUGGGUGUCUGUAUCAGACCCUGUCUCAAACACAGGAAAUAAUCAAAAUUGUAUUUGUGAUAGGCUUGCAGACUCCAGGUUUUCUUUCUUUUACAAAUUAAUAUUAAGGUUAAAAUUAGAUUGUAAGUUAAAAGUCACCUUCUUUGUGUGUGUGUGUGUGUGUGUGUGUGACUUGUUCUUUAUUUGUAGUUUUGUGAUUUCCACAUCAGAAAUGGAUUCCAGCGUUCCUGGUAUGUUCUGUUAACUGUGUGAUAGUGAACUAAGUUACUAACUGAAAAAGAUUCCACUUUUGUAAGCACAUGCUAUGUACCUAGGCCUUGAGCUUGACUAUAAAAGCACUCCCUUGCUUUUUAAUAAAUCGAUUUCUCUUUAUUUAUUCAAUUUACAUCCUGCUCACUGCCUUCCUCCCAGUCACCCCCCUCCCUCAAUUCUUCCCCCAGCUCCCCCUCCCCUUCUCCUCUGAGUCGAUGGGCCACCUUGUAUUACCUAGAUUUGGUAAUAUAAUGUGUUUGGUAGGACUCAUGUAGUAUCUUAGUUUUGCAGUUCAAAUUUUUGUUCAGAUUCUUGAUUGCCUGGUAUGUGGACCCCAUAAAUGGGCCAGUCAGACCCUUGUCGAUGGCCUAAAAUUGAUUGCCUCACUGUUCAUUCUUUUCUUUUCUUUUUUUUUUUUUAAGAUUUAUUUAUUAUUAUACAUAAGUACACUGUAGCUGACUUUAGACACACAAGAAGAGGGCAUCAGAUCUCAUUACUGGUGGUUGUGAGCCACCAUGAGGUUGCUGGAAUUUGAACUCAGGACCUUCGGAAGAACAGUUAGUGCUCUUACCUGAUGAGCCAUCUCGCCAACCCUCACUGUUCAUUCUUAAUAUUACAUACUGUCAAAGCAGUGAACUUAUCUACUUCCUUUUGUCCUGACCCUUUCUGGGCUGUGACUACACUACUUUCCUGAACUAGAAUCCUGAGCAUUGAAGGUCUAUACUGUGUGCCUUCAGCACACUCCAACCCUAAGGAGCAUGCUUAUGUCACUCAACAAUCACUGGCCAAUCAGGGCGUCCAGGCAGGCCAAUCAGGAGAAUAGGAGGGUUCUUCUGAGUACUCUCUGCCAUAAUGGAGGUUCAGCUCUAUGCUAACCUGAAAGAGCAGG